AUUGAACGCUGGCGGCAGGCCUAACACAUGCAAGUCGAACGAGUGGCGGACGGGUGAGUAAUGUCUGGGAAACUGCCCGAUGGAGGGGGAUAACUACUGGAAACGGUAGCUAAUACCGCAUACCAUCGGAUGUGCCCCGAUGGGAUUAGCUAGUAGGUGGGGUAACGGCUCACCUAGGCGACGAUCCCUAGCUGGUCUGAGAGGAUGACCAGCAACACUGGCAUUGAGACACGGUCCAGACGCCUACGGGAGGCAGCAGUGGGGAAUAUUGGACAAUGGGGGCGAGCCUAAUGAAGCCAUGCCGCGUGUAUGAAGAAGGCCUUCGGGUUGUAAAGUCCUUUCAGCGAGGAGGCGUUACUCGCAGAAGAAGCACCGGCUAACCCCGUGCCAGCAGCCGCGGUAAUUC
RNAcentral lists this ribosomal RNA (406 nucleotides) under uncultured bacterium. RNAcentral's name for it is "partial 16S ribosomal RNA". It matches the Rfam family "Bacterial small subunit ribosomal RNA", at positions 30 to 526 of the family's 1533-position model. The record is from RNAcentral.